This 215-nucleotide ribosomal RNA is filed under the name Kodamaea ohmeri. Its description in RNAcentral is "partial 26S rRNA". It matches the Rfam family "Eukaryotic large subunit ribosomal RNA", at positions 1623 to 1848 of the family's 3401-position model. The record is from RNAcentral. Lineage: Eukaryota; Fungi; Ascomycota; Pichiomycetes; Serinales; Debaryomycetaceae.
ACUNGUAUGUGUGUCUGACGGCAACGUAACAGAAUGUGGAGACGUCGGCGUGAAUCCCAAAAGGAGUUUUCUNUUCUUUUUAACCGUAAACCACCCUGGAAUCGGUUUAUCCGGAGAGCGGGUNCUACACGGUNAGAGCGGGUCCGCCNGUUUGGUGCAUUCACGACGGCCCUUGAAAAUCCGCAGGACGAUCCGAUUUCACGACAAGUCGUACU